This 490-nucleotide ribosomal RNA is filed under the name uncultured bacterium. Its description in RNAcentral is "partial 16S ribosomal RNA". It matches the Rfam family "Bacterial small subunit ribosomal RNA", at positions 28 to 507 of the family's 1533-position model. The record is from RNAcentral.
GAUGAACGCUAGCUACAGGCUUAACACAUGCAAGUCGAGGGGCAGCGGGAUUGAAGCUUGCUUCAAUUGCCGGCGACCGGCGCACGGGUGAGUAACGCGUAUCCAACCUUCCGUACACUCAGGGAUAGCCUUUCGAAAGAAAGAUUAAUACCUGAUGGUAUGAUGAGAUUGCAUGAUAUCAUCAUUAAAGAUUUAUCGGUGUACGAUGGGGAUGCGUUCCAUUAGGUAGUAGGCGGGGUAACGGCCCACCUAGCCAACGAUGGAUAGGGGUUCUGAGAGGAAGGUCCCCCACAUUGGAACUGAGACACGGUCCAAACUCCUACGGGAGGCAGCAGUGGGGAAUAUUGGUCAAUGGACGAGAGUCUGAACCAGCCAAGUAGCGUGAAGGAUGAAGGUCCUACGGAUUGUAAACUUCUUUUAUAAGGGAAUAAACCCUCCCACGUGUGGGAGCUUGUAUGUACCUUAUGAAUAAGCAUCGGCUAACUCCGUG